CCUACGGGAGGCAGCAGUGGGGAAUAUUGCACAAUGGGGGAAACCCUGAUGCAGCGACGCCGCGUGAGGGAAGAAGGAUUUCGGGAUGUAAAGCUCUAUUAGCAGGGAAGAAAAGGACGGUACCUGACUAAGAAGCCCCGGCUAACUACGAGCCAGCAGCCGCGGUAAUACGUAGGGGGCAAGCGUAAUCCGGAGUUACUGGGUGUAAAGGGAGUGUAGACGGCAGAGCAAGUCUGAAGUGAAAGCCCGCGGCCCAACUGCGGGACUGCUUUUGAAACUGCCCGGCUAGAGUGCUGGAGAGGUAAGCGGAAUUCCUGGUGUAGCGGUGAAAUGCGUAGAUAUUAGGAGGAACACCAGUGGCGAAGGCAGCUUACUGGACAGUAACUGACGUUGAGGCUCGAAAGCGUGGGGAGCAAACAGGAUUAGAUACCCGUGUAGUC
Molecule: ribosomal RNA, 440 nt
Filed under: uncultured bacterium
Lineage: Bacteria
Description: partial 16S ribosomal RNA
Rfam family: Bacterial small subunit ribosomal RNA
Source: RNAcentral